RNAcentral lists this ribosomal RNA (230 nucleotides) under uncultured bacterium. RNAcentral's name for it is "partial 16S ribosomal RNA". It matches the Rfam family "Bacterial small subunit ribosomal RNA", at positions 28 to 253 of the family's 1533-position model. The record is from RNAcentral.
GACGAACGCUGGCGGCGUGCUUAACACAUGCAAGUCGAACGAUGAAGCCUUUCGGGGUGGAUUAGUGGCGAACGGGUGAGUAACACGUGGGCAAUCUGCCCUGUACUUUGGGAUAAGCCUUGGAAACGAGGUCUAAUACCGGAUAUGACUGGCCUUCGUCAUGGGGGUUGGGUUGGUAAAGUUACUUGGCGGGUACGAGGAUGAGCCCGCCGGCCUAUCAGCUUGUUGGU